Stegodyphus dumicola is the source of this 1576-nucleotide long non-coding RNA. The record is from RefSeq and is a predicted model, not a curated record. NCBI's taxonomy places the organism in Eukaryota, Metazoa, Arthropoda, Arachnida, Araneae, Eresidae.
GAAAUGACAUGAGGUUUUAUUAAAACAAAAAGUGCUUAAAACGGCCAACAGAUGGCACUCCAUAUGAUAACAAAAGCAACAAUUUGCAUAACAACUGAUUUUUAGCAAAGACUAUGUUCUUUAUAACAAAUGUUCAACAUGUCGGCCGUCAUUCAUCAACAAUACCUGUAGUCGAGGGACAAUGUUAUGAACAGCACUGUACAGCAUAUCUAUUGGGGAGAAAUGAAAAAAAAAAAAAAAAAAAAAAAAAAAAAAAAAAAAAGGCCAACAUAUGGCGCUUCGUGUAUGAAAUGAGCUGUCGUGAAAGAGGGAAUCAAUUGCUUCAUAACUUUUCCUUUUCAAACCUGACCCUCCGGAUGUAUCCUCGCCUCCGGAUGUUUGUCACGGCCUGAUGAGGAUUUAUCACAUCAAUCGCAUGUCAGACACUUUUUCUUCGAGGAAAUGCGUAGUUCUGCUGUCAGUGUGACGCGUGCGAAUUGUUACAGAAUUGCAUCAUCCUUAGUUUGGCUGAUAAAUACCUGUUGGGAGAUAAGACUUUUAUGCAGGAUGGAGCUCCACCCCAGAUUACUAUAUGUGUGAAAGAUCUCUCGCACACAUCGUUUGGUGAGGAUCGCGUGCUGAGCCGCCGCUUCCGUUAUACUUGGUCUCUCAGAUCCCAGAUUUCAAACCGCGUGAUUUUUGGUUGUGGGAUUUCUUGAAAUCGCAAUUCUACCACGAUCAUCCAAUGAUGUUAUGCCAAAAGACAACAUCACAAAGGCAAUUUCUCACCAUACCUACAGAUAUGUUGACAACUGCUGUUCACAAUAUUGUCUGUCGACUACAGCACGUAUGCUCUUUUGGUGAGGCACCAGGUUUCAUACUAUGCUAAAACUCUCAUCAUCACCAAAUUCAAAUUCAACAGGCCCCUCACUCCUCAGGUACACCUCACGGAGUUAACCCAAGAAGCCCUUCGGAGCAGUAAGUCAAACAUCUGUCCUCUGGUGUACAACAAGCUCUGCUAGGGAGAUGCUGAAAAAUUUGAAUAUCUCUCUUGCUGAAGAUGCUUAAAGUUCAACGCUCGUAGUCCGUCGGUAGAAACCACGAAGUCUUUUUCUGUGGGUGUGAGAAGACUCUUUUAUUCUCGCGAUGUCCUGGUUCUCGACGUGACCAGUAAUCAUAAUUCUCUUCAGCAUGGUAUAGCGAUCUGAUGUAUAGAAUCCUGACGUGGAAAGGAUUUAUCGAAGAUUAGAAUGGAAAUAGGAAUCUUGCUGAAUGUGCCAGACAGCAUUUGUGUGAAAUAUCGUAUGGAAUCGUUACAGCCAAGUACCUGACAACAUAGCAGUUACGUUCAUCUCCCAUUAUGCAACUCCAUUCUACUUUGUUAUGUUUAAUCCUCACAUGCCAUGGGUUCGUAUGCCAUAGAUGCCUGUUCAUCGGCUUUAUUAAGCUUAAGAAAAGCACCCAUUAAGGUUUAUGAUUAACUUACAGCAUGUAUGCUGUUUUGGUAGAACCAGGUUUCAUACUACGCCAAAACUCUCAUCAUCACCAAAUUAAAAUUCAACACACCCCGUAUGUCUCCCCAGAAAAAAAGCACUGU